Molecule: long non-coding RNA, 1563 nt
Organism: Pistacia vera
Lineage: Eukaryota; Viridiplantae; Streptophyta; Magnoliopsida; Sapindales; Anacardiaceae
Exons: 3
Source: RefSeq, a predicted model, not a curated record
CAAUAUGAUACAAAUACAUCUUCUUGCAAUUUUCAAAUCAGAACCCAUUAUAAGGCUUCUAUAGGCGAUAAACUUCGGCCAACGACACCUCCUUUGCUAAAAAAAUUAUAUAGAAAGAAGAAACAUUAAGCUUUGCAUCAAAAGCUCAAUCUUUCCAUGGCUCAUAACUCCAAGUCCUCCACCUCCACCACCGCCAAGUACUCCACCACGACCACCACCACGACCACCACCACUACCACUAAGCUCACCACCACCCCCAACAAAAUAGACCAUGGCCAAAAGCAUAAAAAAAUUGUAACUUCUUCAUCAGCACCAAAAGCUCAAACCAGUCAAGGCACACACCACCACCACCAGGUUCACCAUCACCACCACCACCACCACCCUCACCAUCAUCAACAAACAUCAAAGCCAAAAGCUCCAGGAAAAGCCCUCACUCAACCAAAGCCUAAACUAGCCAUGGCACAUGCCACGGCUUCCAUCAAAUCCACCACCGCCAAGGCCACGAUCAAGUUGGGACAAGGAGUAGAUGUCAAAGUGGUAACCAAAGAAGCAGUAAUCAAAGGAGGAAAGAUAGCUCAUAUCAAAUAAUGGCAUGCAAGUUCUCAAUUUAUAAAGGAGUUGGAUGCCGCAGAUGUGAAGGAAUCUUUUGCAGAAUCUAUACUGGGAUUAUCAGAACUUGUAAUAUGUUAUGAGAUUAUGUUGAAUUUUUUUUUUUUUUUUUUUUUUUUGUUAUUGUUGUACUUGGCGAGCAAAAUUAUAGAAUUAUCUCAUUAUAUUAGCAGACGUUUGACGGAUCUUGUUGUAGAUUUGAUUUAGCAAGGCAGUUUUUCCGACUCCCCCUUUCCCAUACAGGCCAAUAAUCGUCACUUGAUCUUCUUCAUAACAUCUCCAAACUUCAUGAAUUUUUUUACUCUAAACCCAACGUUAGUUCAGAAGGUAUUUGAUCAUCCAUUGGAUCAUCCUUUCUCUGAUCAGCCACCUCCUUAAAUUCUCUACCUUUUUCCUUCAACUCACUCACAACUUCCAGCUUUUGAGCAACUCUCUUCCCGAACCUGAAGCUUGUAAACUUGUAGUUUUUGUAACAAAAGCCUCCAAGACAUAACCUCUAAACUUCAUCAGAGCUGUCUGUAAUCAGUUUAUCAACAUCGCUUUCUGUCUUUUCCACCCUCCUAAAGCAACCUUGCACUUUGUCCAGCCGUUCCCUUUGUGGUAGUUGUUCCUCUUUUUUAACUCUCCGAAACACAUCGUUCCUUGCAUCACUCAAUAUUUACAAUGCAGUAAGUAAGUUAGCCAUAGUGGAUAAGAUUUCUAAUAUACAGGAGAGGGAGUAGAGAGUGACGAGUUACAGGCAGUUGAAAGAUUCAAAGGAAGAAGCACUAGAAAGGAAGUAGAGAGGAAGAAUCAAUAGAGUGAUAGACAAAGCUUCUGAGGUCUUGAGAGGAAGCUUUGACAAAUUGGCAUGGUGGAGUGGGUCAGAUAGCUACUAUGAGAACUAAAGUUAAUUUGAGACUGUAAUUUAUCUUUUAAUCACUUAAAAGUUUAAAAAUAAUCAACUUUGAAUAA